This 370-nucleotide ribosomal RNA is filed under the name uncultured bacterium. Its description in RNAcentral is "bacterial SSU rRNA". It matches the Rfam family "Bacterial small subunit ribosomal RNA", at positions 527 to 896 of the family's 1533-position model. The record is from RNAcentral.
GUAGGUCCCGAGCGUUGUCCGGAUUUAUUGGGCGUAAAGCGAGCGCAGGCGGUUUGAUAAGUCUGAAGUUAAAGGCUGUGGCUCAACCAUAGUUCGCUUUGGAAACUGUCAAACUUGAGUGCAGAAGGGGAGAGUGGAAUUCCAUGUGUAGCGGUGAAAUGCGUAGAUAUAUGGAGGAACACCGGUGGCGAAAGCGGCUCUCUGGUCUGUAACUGACGCUGAGGCUCGAAAGCGUGGGGAGCGAACAGGAUUAGAUACCCUGGUAGUCCACGCCGUAAACGAUGAGUGCUAGGUGUUGGAUCCUUUCCGGGAUUCAGUGCCGCAGCUAACGCAUUAAGCACUCCGCCUGGGGGGUACGACCGCAAGGUUG